UACGGAGGGUGCAAGCGUUGUUCGGAAUUACUGGGCGUAAAGCGCGUGUGGGCGGACCGGUAAGUCGGGAGUGAAAGCCCUGGGCUCAACCCAGGAAGUGCUUCCGAUACUGCCGGCCUUGAGUUCCGGAGAGGGUGGUGGAAUUCCCGGUGUAGAGGUGAAAUUCGUAGAUAUCGGGAGGAACACCAGUGGCGAAGGCGCCCACCUGGACGAGGACUGACGCUGAGACGCGAAAGCGUGGGGAGCAAACAGG
This 253-nucleotide ribosomal RNA is filed under the name uncultured bacterium. Its description in RNAcentral is "partial 16S ribosomal RNA". It matches the Rfam family "Bacterial small subunit ribosomal RNA", at positions 524 to 776 of the family's 1533-position model. The record is from RNAcentral.